CGCGUAGGCGGCACGGUACGGUUCGGGUGAAAUCCCUCGGCUCAACCGAGGAACUGCCUGAGCAACGGCCGAGCUAGACAGCAUCAGGGGAAGGUGGAACUCCCGGUGGAGCGGUGAAAUGCGUAGAUAUCGGGAGGAACGCCGGUGGCGAAAGCGACCUUCUGGGGUGCUUGUGACGCUGAGGCGCGAAAGCUAGGGGAGCGAACAGGAUUAGAUACCCUGGUAGUCC
Molecule: ribosomal RNA, 229 nt
Filed under: uncultured bacterium
Lineage: Bacteria
Description: partial 16S ribosomal RNA
Rfam family: Bacterial small subunit ribosomal RNA
Source: RNAcentral